This 26-nucleotide non-coding RNA is filed under the name Bombyx mori (domestic silkworm). Lineage: Eukaryota; Metazoa; Arthropoda; Insecta; Lepidoptera; Bombycidae. The record is from RNAcentral.
CAAUUCAAGAUCAGGCAGUGGUGACC